UUGUUUUUCACCCAAAAUGUGAGAUUUGAGGUGUUGUUUCCCGGCAGACGCUGCAGGCCAUGGACACCAUGCUGGAGGAGAUGCUUCUGGGCUCUCCCAGCUCCACCAUCGUUCUCCAGGAUGUCCUGGAGGUUUUGCUGGAGUAUUUCUUCUUCGACACAGCGGCCGUGCAGGAAAGAGUGAUGGGCAGGAUUAAACUGCUGAGCCGUUUUUUAUCCGACUCUUCCAUUGUGCAGGUAAAAGCCUGGACCCUAAAACACCUUCAAACCUCAAAUCCCCACCUUUAAUUUUUAAAUUUUUUUUAAUUUUUCACUCACCUGUUUUCCUGCGGACGGGUGGAAAGGAGGAGAGCGGCGCUGCCGGCGGACAGAUCCCGGCGCUGGGCAAGCUGCUGGGCCAUCUUUUCUUGAAGUUGUUGAGGAAAGAGGAAAGCAGCGGGACGGUGGUGGAGAUCCUCUGCUCCCUCAUGACCUUCCUCUCCCGGCAGAAACGCACCAAGCUGCCAGAGGUGCACGCGGAGCUCCCGGCGUUCUGGGAAGCCGAGAUCGCUUCCUACCUGGAUAUGCCCAGCAGCUGGACGGUUCAGGCCUUUGGGAGAUACCUCAGGCCUGCUGAGAGGACAGACAUCAUCCUCACCGCCAUCGAGAUCCUGGGACGCUCCAGCCUCCUGGACAAGCGGGUGCCAAUGGAGUUCCUGGAGGUGGCCAUGAAAUCCCCUGAGCUGUGGCUGGUGGAUGUGCCAAAGGUGGUGAGACACAUCUUCACCUACUGCGACGAGAAAAAUGCCACAACCGCUCGCUGCUUCCACGCCCUGCUCGCCCUCAUGGCCAACCUGUGGCCUGGGCUGGUCGUCACCACAGCUCUGGAGGCUGCGCCGAUACUCAGCGAUAAAGUCUGUCUGUGGGAGGCCAUGUUCUCCGUGCGCCAGUCUCUGGAGAAGGUUCUGAGGGAGCUGCACAUGAAACUCUGGGACCACCAGAAGGAAGUCUUCACUCAGCAGCAGAAGUCCUGCUUCGCUUUCUUGGCUAUGUUGGCGUCUGGAGACGUUCUGGAGAAGAAAGUGGGCUCGUUGUACAAGAGCCUGAAUCUUCUGAGGUCUUCAAGGAUGGAGAUGGUUCCUCUGGUGCUCAGGGCCCUGGUGACGCUGUCAGAGGGAGCUGAGACGGCAAGGAAAAUGAGAGGCCUCCUCCCCGAGCUGCUGAAGUUCCUUUGGCAUUGGUCCUGGGACAUCUCGGUGAUGGCCAUGGACACCUGCCUGAACGUGCUGGGCCAGCUGAGGAGCAGCGAGGCCAGCCCCGUGGUGGCCAAGGUGGUGCAGAACCUCUGGCGGCUCUUCGAUGCGGUAAGGUUGAUGUGGGAACCCGGCAGCCUUGGGAGCUCCUCUGGGCUGUCCUGGCUUCUGGAACACCUGGGGCACCCCAAACAUACCUGGGACACCCCAAACAUACCUGGGGCACCCCAAAACACACCUGGGACACCCCAAAACACACCUGGGACAGCCCAAAACACACCUGGGACACCUCAAAACACACCUGGGGUACCCCAAACACACCUGGGACACCCCAAACACACCUGGGGUACCCCAAAACACACCUGGGACACCCCAAACACACCUGGGACAGCCCAAAACACACCUAGGACACCUCAAAACACACCUGGGACACCUCAAAACACACCUGGGGUACCCCAAACACACCUGGGACAGCCCAAAACACACCUGAGGACACCCCCAAACCCCCCUGGGAGCUCCCCUGGCCUCUCCUGCCCUCCAGACCCCCAGAACAUCACCCCUCAACCCAUCAACCCUCCCCACCCGUGUUUUUAUUCCCUUUUCUCCUUCCUUUUUAUCCUAUUUCCUCCUUCCUUUUUAUCCCCUUUUCUCCUUCCUUUUUAUCCCCUUUUCUCCUUCCUUUUUAUUCCCUUUUUUUUAUUCCCUUUUCUCCUUUUUAUUCCCUUUUCUCCUUCCUUUAAUUCCCUUUUCUCCUUCCUUUUUAUCCCCUUUUCUCCUUCCUUUUUAUUCUUCUUUCUUUCUUUUUUA
Parus major (Great Tit) is the source of this 2038-nucleotide long non-coding RNA. Lineage: Eukaryota; Metazoa; Chordata; Aves; Passeriformes; Paridae. The record is from Ensembl.